Molecule: long non-coding RNA, 252 nt
Organism: Ochotona curzoniae (black-lipped pika)
Lineage: Eukaryota; Metazoa; Chordata; Mammalia; Lagomorpha; Ochotonidae
Exons: 3
Source: RefSeq, a predicted model, not a curated record
GUGCUUGUGCUUUGGAGAGGAAUCCGUCUGGGUGGCUGGCAUGCAGGUAGCCCGUGUUGGGCUGGAAGUCCCCAAAUCCUCAUGGAUGAGGGGCCCUCGGUGGACGCAAGACUCACGUAGGCUUCUGCUGAGCACCAGAGGCAGCGGUGAAUGGCGGAAGCACCAUGGCCUGCGCUGGGCCAAUGCCAGCAGAGCUCAGAGGAGGGGUGUGUGGCUGCCAUCGGCGUGGCUUGUGGAGUGCCAGCAGAUCUG